CAAGCUGCUGCUGCUUACUCAGAGUAUAGCAGUCAGCUCUCUGCACUAUGAUCUGUCAACCAUGCGUGUAGGAAGCAAAUUUCUCCAAAUCAACAUAUGUUCCCAGGAAGAAGCGUCAGCACAAGAUCCUGCUGGUAGGUGGGGAGAAGCAGAAUGCAACUGACAUUGCUUGUCCGGUGAACUUUACUGCAACAGACUCAGGGCAAACCAUGAUUUCAAUCAGAAUUGCUAAAUAAAUUAGUAGGCAGCAGGAUGCUUGUUAAUUCCCGUCCAUAUGCCAAGAGCCAGAUCCAAGGUCCAUUAAAAGCUGUAGGAGUAUUUCAGCAGAUUUCAAUGAGAAUUUGAUUAUUCUCACUGAAAGCAAGAAUAAGAAUAAGAAUAAUCAGCUGCUAGCCAGAUCUGUACAGGAAGGGUUUGCUGCAUAACUGUGUAUCUCGUAAUUGAGGAAUGUAUUGUGCAAUGCCAUCUCAGUGGAUCUCAAGGGAUGCUAUUGUCUCACAUGGCAUUUUGUUGUCUCUACCACAAACACUGCCUGAAGAACUCAGUUUUAUUUGCCUAGUGACAUUCUUCCCAAUAAAAGGUUCUGCAUAAAAUGACCCUUCAGUUCUCAGUGAGUGCACUGGAGAAUAAGAAUGCAAAUUGCUAAAGUGAAAUUGAAAGUGGCAGGAUACCAUAACUACUAAGUUAAUUGCACUUAUAUUAGAAUUUAUAUGGAUGCACAUUAGAAUGAUUAAUGCAGCUAGUCUUCUGUGUUUCAUAGCCAAACUUUCUUAUAUACAGCAAGAGAUAAUGUGUCUACUAAACUCCUAUAUGUUGAUCUCUAGGAAUUUGCAAAAGUGUCAUGUAGUUGCAGUUACCAGGAGAUAGGAUGGUCACUUCAGAUUAAAUAUGUGGCUGACCUGCAAAAUAAACCUACACAUGUCUAUUCAGUAGUACCGUAAGUCCCACUGAACUCAGUGGGAUAUAUGCUACUUAUAUGUGAACAGGACUGCAGUCCUAAAGCAACUGUGCAAGUCAAAAUUCAUCUUAGAAACUUCUAAGUAUGAUAUUUGUUGCAGCAUCCAGAGCCCUCACCUGAUCUUAAACCCAGACUCAACAAUCAGUGAUAGCACAUUUACCUAAGAUGCAUCUCAUUCUUCAGUAUGCACACACAACCCUCCCUCUCCACAUGCCCUGCACACUCCCCUUAUCAGCACUGGAGGGCUGGAGCAACCCAUAGAACAGAUUUGUGGGGCAAGGAGCAAUGACAUGGGGGGAAGUUCCAUUGUGCAGAAAUCUUUGUGCUAUCACAACUACUUAUUUCACUUUACAGUGAUACCUUGGACGUCGAACGCCUUGUGACUCAAAAGUUUUGGCUCCUGAAUGCCACAAACCCGGAAGUGAGUGUUCCAGUUUGUGAACGUUCUUUGGAACCCGAAUGCCCGAUGCGGCUUCCGUGGCUUCCAACUGAGUGCAGGAGCUUCCUGCAGCCAAUUGGAAUCUGCGCCUUGGUCAAAUGGACUUCCAAGGUACGACUGUACACUGGAUACGACCCAAAAUUAUCCUUUUGAGACUGGACCUCUCCUCUGCAGCACUGAGCUACUUGGAAAUGAGAGUACCUCAAAAAAUUUGCACACCACUGCAUCCAGUCCUGGGCCAGAGACUGUGACUUCAAGCCCCCUGGAGGGGAAGGGCUUCAAGGACUUUGCCUGUUUCAGAUUUUAAAAGCAGUUAUAUAUGUGAAUUGCAUAGCCUGAUGUAAAAGAAUUAUUGCACAUUAAUAAGAGUUAUAUAUAAGAGGUUUGUUCAGCAGAAGCAAUUUGCUGCUGAAAUGUCUUCUUCUAUGAAACUACUGAUGGUUCAACUGCCUUGCUCUCUUUUGUAUUUGGCCAACCUGUAUGUACAGCUGUCAAGGCCAGUCCACCCUUGAGGUGGGAUUAGGCAGCCGCCUUUGGUGGCAGAACACCAAGAGGCAGCGCCCUAGGGCUGGCAGAGAAUUGGCGGUAGUGGCAGCUUCUGGUGAAAUCUUCCAAGAUCUUGCAAAAAAAUUGUGAGAUCUUGUGUGCUCUAUGACACAUUGCAGGAGCUUCACGAAAUCUCAUGCUAUCCCACCAGAAUGCACCGUCAAGUUUUGGGAGGGGCAAGUUGGGUCAGCACCUUUCUGCCUUAGGCUUCUCUGACACCUGUAUACAUUACUGGUUGCAGAGUAAUCUCCACGCUGGGCAAUUUGGAGUUGUCUUGUGCUGUACUUUACUUUUUUAAAACAAGAAGUAAGAUUUGUGAUGCAUAUCCCUUCUUCGGCCUGAUUCAUAUAUAUAUAUAUUGCACUGCAUCAGCCUCAUAGUUAUGGUCAUUUCCCCUUUAACACAAAUUACAAUCCGUGGAAAACAAGCACAAACCAUAGUUUGCCUGUUCUGAUUAAUGGUUUGCACUAAACAGCAGGGAACAAAUUUAUAUCUGAGAGCACAGGGAAGGAUGGGGUGUGCAAGCACAAGGACCAGUGCUUUCCCCCCCUUAAAAAGUGUUUAGGGGUACUCUCAUUUUGACUCAAGAAAAUCACCAUGUUAUAGUUGGGAAAAAUAAAUACAGUAAAUGGACAAAAGUACAAAGCUUCACAAAAUGUUUAGGGGUAUGCGUACUCCUGCGUCCCCCCCCCCCCCCCGGAAAAAAGCACUGACAAGGACCAUUCAUGCAGUACCAAAUUAUGGCUUGUUGUUACAUCUGAACUGUGCUUCUCACUUCAGCAAAAGUGGACACUUGAAAACAAUCGAUUAUUUUAAAGAAGCAAGUGUUGGCUGAAAGUCUGCAACACUCAAUUACAGCGGCUAUCCUAGACAUACUCUCUCUAGUUGAAGGAAAACCUUGCCAAAUCCCCUUCAGUCCGCUCCUUCCAAAAGAGCCAAUAAUAUAUCCACUUUCACAUUUGGCAUAAAAGCAUUAAUUGCCUGAUGAAUAUUGCAGAACAGGAGAAAUAACUGCUUGCGGGGUGGUCUUAAAUGAAACUGGAAUGUUUUCCUUCAGAUGCAGCAUCGACAGCUGUUGUUGCUCUGUCUGGGUGAACAUCCAUUUCAGAAUUCUCAGAUCCUUGACAAAAACACCAUCACAGGAGAAAUUAACAUCUCUUCCACCACAGCUUAAUUUUCUGAAUAACAACAACAAAAAACAACCACCCCCAAAAUGCACAGCUGGCUGUAAAGAUAGACAAUUCUAUAAAUGCCUUCUACAAUGUGCUUGAAAUGAACUUUCCCCCCUUUUUGCUUUGUAUAAACUAUUUUGCUUUGAAAGAACAUUAUGACCUAUUGGGGCAAACAUGCUAGAAGCAUUUCAGUAACUACAUAAACAUUACAUUCACCAAAUUUAGCAGCUCAUCUGGCUUCUACAGUGUGAGAACGCAAAGGUACAUUCUGUCAUCUGUUCCUCUGCACUUGCGUUGUACUUUGCAUUAAACAGAAGUACACAUUUUAUUCUGCCCAUGAUUUAGCAAACACUUUAUAUAAUCAUCAGUGUAUGUGUGGCUAAAUGUGUUUAAACAUUUGCAAGACAGAGCCUUGUUACUUGUCACAGCAUAGGGCAAUUAUGUGGAAUAUAAUCUUAUAGAAUGGUUUUUGCUUGAAGGAAUGAUGCUAUGUCUGUUGUCGCACUAGUAAUAAUAACACUUAACAUUUGUACAGCACUUUUAUUAUCUUCCAUGCUGUUGAAGGGGAGCUGAGGCUAAGAGAGAAUGGCUUCCCUAGGGCCACCUAGGAGUUCCUAGCAGAGUUGAGAGUCACACUGAGAACAUUCUGAUUCACAGCUCAGUUUCUCAGACUACAAAAGCUCUAGUUCUGUGAUUUGGGAACAUGCAGGCACAAGCACACAUACACAACCCUAUAGUGACAUACUUCAAAUAAUGUCCCUGCAUCCUCAUAUGUCAGAUCAUCACAGAUCCAUAGGAGAACCACCUUUGUGACAGAUUCUUUUUAGCACCAUCCCUGACAUAGCUCUAUAUGCUGUUUUUCAUCUAAGCACUUCAUGUUUGAGGCCUUUUCUUUUCUUUUUUAGGUCCACAUGGGAUAGUCCACAAAACGGCUUUUCACCUUUCCUGCCGCUCCCAUGCAGGAAGUGUCCUUAAAGAAAAGAGCUGGUUGGACGGGCUCCAGUGUUUCUCAGGAAUUCUAACAGAACAACAGCAACUCUGGUGCAUGUGUGCUGUCAUCUAGACCAGAGGGUAUCUCAGGCUUUGUUCUAAACCUAGCUAUGUUUGAAAAAUAAAAGUAUUCUGGUUACAUUUGAUAGGAUAGCCUAACUCAAGAUGGCUAUAUAUGUAUUAGCAGAGGCGGAGCUAGCUGCUCCAGCUAUGUACCCAGGGGUGGGGCUAGCCACCCGCAGGAGCAGGGUGAGCAUCCCAGGGGGGCGGUGCCCACAACAAGCGCCCCAGGGGAUGACACCCAGGGCAAACUGCAGCCACCGCACCCCCCUUCCUCCACCAGUGGGUAUUAGAAGUCAAACUGGGAUCUGCAAAAGCAUUUGAAGGCUUUAAAAACCCUCAAGUUUCAAAAGAAUUCUCUAAGAGAUGGAAUUCACUCUACUGCCUACGACCCAGCCUCCAAAGGGACGUGAAACUCAUCUUGGGUCAAAAGCUGCCAGCCAUUUCUUUAAAAUUAAUGAAUUCUGUUCUCAAUCAUGAUGUUACUGUUUUAUGGAACUGUUCAGAUGUUCUGUACAUGGAUCUUGGAACCCAGUUGGCCAAGAGGAGGUCAUAUAAACUUAUGAUUAUUAAACUGGAAUGACUAU
Molecule: long non-coding RNA, 4752 nt
Filed under: Podarcis lilfordi (Lilford's wall lizard)
Lineage: Eukaryota; Metazoa; Chordata; Lepidosauria; Squamata; Lacertidae
Source: RNAcentral